UAGGGGUUAGCCAAAAAGGCAAGGCAUUAAGUUUUGGUCUUAAAAUUGUGGGUUCGAGCCCUGCACCCCUAG
This 72-nucleotide transfer RNA is filed under the name Amphimedon compressa (erect rope sponge). RNAcentral's name for it is "tRNA-Gln". It matches the Rfam family "tRNA". From Rfam's summary of the family: Transfer RNA (tRNA) molecules are approximately 80 nucleotides in length. Their secondary structure includes four short double-helical elements and three loops (D, anti-codon, and T loops). Lineage: Eukaryota; Metazoa; Porifera; Demospongiae; Haplosclerida; Niphatidae. The record is from RNAcentral.